Drosophila pseudoobscura is the source of this 563-nucleotide long non-coding RNA. RefSeq lists it as uncharacterized. The record is from RefSeq and is a predicted model, not a curated record. NCBI's taxonomy places the organism in Eukaryota, Metazoa, Arthropoda, Insecta, Diptera, Drosophilidae. The transcript has 2 exons.
GUCACCGUCCACUGUUCGGUUCGUCUGAUAAGGCGGGAUAUCAUCGGAGAGGGCUUGCCGCUGCUGCCGUACUGCUGAUAUGGACACACCACAGAGCAUCGCUAGCGACAAAACAAAUCAACAACAACGACAACACAGACGGGCGCGAGAUACUCUAGAUGCAUACACCGAUGUACAUAUAUACACAUUGUACAUCCGCACACAUUCUCAUAUAUAAAUAUAUGUAUGUAAAUGUAUUUUGAAGGUUUCACAAAAGCACAGCAUCCUUUACAUGUUAUCUACAGAUGCAGAAGCAGUUAUUUACAUAUAUUCCGUGACCGUAUAAACAAUUGUAACUUCUCUGCUGUCUCCACUUACACAAAUGUAUAUACACGACCGAUAGCCGACCCUUUGAUUAUUUAAACUGUAAGUUUGUUUUCUUAUUAUUUACAUAUGCACAUGUAUGGGAGUGUGUGUAUAUAGAACGACAGAGAAUGGCGCAAGCACAGCAAACGAGUAGAAUAUCAGCGCGAAAUGAAUUCAAAAUCUUCUACGUCCAAAUAAACCGAAAGCCAGAACAUAAA